UUGCCUUAUAAGUACGUCUUACGGACAUCGGUUUCCUCUGUGAUAGAAUCUUCUGACGAAGACACGUUGUCGCACAAAAAUACGCUUGAAUAAUGAACCUCUGGCUUAUUCUGUGUGUAGUACUCUCAUGGACAAACGUGUAUGGUUCUCCUGUUGGUGAACCUAUCACCCCGGCUAUUACCUACAGACGUGAAUAUUGUCCGGAAGGAAGAAGUGAAUUGCCUAAUGGACUUUGCAUCAUAAUAAGGGCAAGCAUCGAGCGUUACGUAUUACGUACACACCAAUGGUAAUCCAGUCCCUCACGAUCCCCCGUGUGGUCACCCGGUCGGUCCCCCGUGCAGACCCCCUGCUGGUCCACCGUGCGGUCCCCCAAGCAAACCCCAGCACAAUCCCCUACGUUGUCCCCCGGGCGGUUCCCCAUGUAGUUUCCCGAUCUCUCCCCCGUGCAGACCCCCUGGUGGUCCUCCAUCCGAUCCCCCAAGCAGGCCCCUGAGCGAUCACCCAUGCUGUCCCCCGGGCGAUCAUCCGUGUGCUCAUCCGGCCAGUCCCCCGUGCAGACCACCGGGUCUACCGUGCGGUCCCCCAAACAGGACCCAGCGUGAUCCUUCGUGUUGUACUUCUGGCGGUCCCCCAUGUGAUUAUCCGGCCGGUACCGUAUGUUGUCCCACGGCUGAUCCUCCGCGUGGUCACUCGGUCGGUCCCUCGUGUGGUUUACCCGGCUUGAUAAAUAGUGGAUACUGUCCAAAAGGAACAUUUAAGUUGCCAAAUGGACUUUGUGUUAUGAAGAAUCGGAAAUAGCUAAUGGAAAGAACGAAGAACUUUAUCCAAGAACCACGUAUCGUUAUGCCGGCUGCACAACACGAGCUAAGCUAGGUUUGGUCCGGUUAUAGUACCCAAAAUAAGUGUCUAACUACAUCAUUAUAAGAAAGAAAGAAAGAAAUAAGAUAGAAAAUAUUUAUUUCCAUAUUGGACGCCAUAUUUACAAACUUCAAUUACUUACAGAAAUUAAAAAAAAAACAAAGACAAAAAAGAUAAAUAAUUACAGACAUUAAAUACACAAUGGAGGCGCCCAAAAUAAAAAAUAUAACAUAAUGACAUUAUGUACCUAGGUAAGUACAUAUGUAUAGGUGUCGUGGGCCGAUCGUUAAACUGGGUCGAUCGAGAUCUGCCUGGGCCCAUCAUGAUGUGCCGGCAUUUCGUGUAGAGGUAGGAGUUGAAAAUUUCAAUUCUUAAUUAAUUGAUAACUCUCGGUUACUUCUUAACACGUUAACAGUCCGGUGUACCGUAUGUGGCACACGGGGAGCGGUUCCGCCGAGUUCGUGUACCCUAUGAGGUACACGAGACCAGUGCAGCUUUAUGGGCUGUCAAAUCACGGACUCGUAAAAUUUGUUGAUAUUUUCAUAAAGGACUUGUAGCCAAAGACCUUAUAAAUAGAAAAAGUCAAAAACAUGUCACAUUGAAUAACAAACGAAAGCCAAAAAAUAUAAUAUCUCAUUUGGACAUAUGGCAUGUUUUGAAACGCUUGUAUGGGGACUGUUAACGUGUUAAUGAUGUAAGUACGUACUACGUACACAAAUCACUUCACGCCGCCGGCGCGCCGCGGGCGCCGACCCUAAAAAGCCGGCGUGCCGCCGCCGGCAAAGGGUCGGCUCCGACAUCUAAUUUCAUGAUGUGCCCAAUUUACACACACACAUUCACAAUUCAAUUAAAUUUAUUCACAUUUAUUGUAAAACCUUUAUAGUACCAUGUUUUAUGAGCAUGUAAAUAAUUUUUGAAUUUUGUUUUUUUUUUUAAAUUUAGCAGAUCGAUGAGAGCAACGCGUAGGUACCAACCUGCUUACAUUUAAAUUUUCUAUACGAAUGUCUUAGACACGGUAGUUGUCACAAACUAUGAAAUAAAACAAUUAAAUUAGUUUUAAAUAUACAUUUUUAUUUUCGCAUUUGAAGUUUUUCAUCAAUAAACCUGCGAAUCAUUUCACUCUCAGCAAACGAUUGGCACUAGGAAGAUUAAUUAAGUACUUAACAUGCAAUUAUUUGUGAAUAUGAAAAAAUAUAAUAUCUCAAAAAUAAAAUAUUAUAGAUAUGGAGUCAAAAUGUUGCCUAGAAAAGAUUGCUACUUAGCUAUAAGGCCGCCUAUUCUACUCUUCUAUUUCUCUUUUGUUUGUAAUAUUGUACACUGGCCUGCAAAACUAAGUAGAUAUGUAGAUAAAAUACUUUGUUGAUCACAAUGGACACAAGAACUAAAUACUAGACUAUUUUAAACUUACAUUCAUACAUAAAUUCACGCCUUUUUUCACCGGGGUAAGCAGAGACUAUGGAAUUCCAUUUACUUCGAUCCUGAAAUAUUUCUCUUGCUUCCUCCACAUUCAUCCAUCGUUUCAUACACGCACGUCGGUUCAGAGUAGAACUACUGUUUUUUUUCUAAGGACAUCUAAUUUUUUUUAAUCGUGAUUAGUAAUUUAAAAUGAAAAAAUAUGUUUUAACUAUAAAUCAUAAAUAUAGCGUCAAAGAAUUCUUAUCUCAAAAAUAUUGAAUUGGAAAAUGUGUUGAUAAAGUGCGUUGAUGAUUUCUUUCAUUUUGUUGUAAGAAUGACUAAAUUAUGUAAGUGACGAAAUUAUUUUAUUUGAUUAUUAUAAUAGUAUACUUAAUGUAAUGACCAUUCACAAGUACAUGACGUGACAUACAAGUACACGUAAAUUGUAACAAUAUUUUGUUUUAGGUUUACGCGGUUAUUGUCAUAAUUAAAACACAUAAUAACGGGUUCUUACCGCGUUUAAAUCAGACUUAUUAGACUCCCGAUAUUUCGACACUGUUUCAAGUGCCAUAAUCACAGGAUGACUGAUGAGAUUUAUUAUUUAUUAUGGAUCUACCUACUCCACUCCAAUCUCAUCAGUCAUGUGUCGAAAUAUCGGGAGUCUCAUAUCCCUGAUACGCGGUAAGAACCCGUUAUUAUGUGUUUUAAUUGUAACAAUAUUUGCAUGCUAUUGUUGAAAGCUGAUAAGAAGGAACUUCUAUGAACAUCCAUUUAUUAAUGUAAGUACUCUUUUCAAAGGCAAAUAAAGAGUAUUUCUAUUUUCUAUACAUAAUUUCACACACAUAAAUAAAUGAUUAUGAAUUAUGAAUUCCAUCAGUUUUCUUUGUAAGUAUUAAACUAUACAAUAGUAACAUUUCGAGUCCUUUUUAUUUCGAAAGUUUAUAUUGUGCACUAUAAUUUGAAAAGUGUAGUAAGUACUUACAUAGUUUUAGUUUACAUUAUUUAGUGGCCCCGAUUCCUGUAGACACUCCCUAAUUUUAUUUAAAGUUAAACCCGUCAUUUUCUUAUCCGCCGAUAAGUUAUCGGAAUAUUCAAUAAACAAUGUGUAACUAUCUAUUUUCGCUUCGUGCCAAGAAGCCGCUUAAAUUAAUAACUGAUUUGUGCAAGUCCAGUACCGGGUUUCGAUUCCCCGAUUGAGAAGCAAACCGGUGAACCACAGGACCACAAUGACUGUCAAUGACACUUUUCCGAUCAGGAUGUUUUCCUGAUUGGAAAAAUGUCAUGAUGACUAUAGGAUAUUUUGUAGGAAUAUUCUAUUUGUUUUAAACUUAACACCACCACAGUUUGAUGUGAUUCACGACAUGACAUCACAUAAUAUUUAAGAUCACUGUUUUUAAAUUAGCAUUAUACAAACAAUAAAGAAUGCUUUUUCGCUAAUGUAAUGUACACACAUGCAACAUACACAAUGGUAAUGUAAUGCAAUGUGUAAUGUAAUGUGUUGUAACACAUAUUAUUUAAGAUAACUGUUUUUAAAUUAGCAUAAUACAAUAAUUCUUCGCUAAUGUAAUGUGUGCGUGUGUAUGUGUGUGUGUAUGUAAUGUAAUGCAAUGAGUAAUGCAAAGUGUAAUGUAAUGUAUAAUGUAAUGUGUGGUAACCUCAUCAUAAUAAAUACCUACGAACGCCAUCUAUUUAAUAGA
This 3950-nucleotide long non-coding RNA is filed under the name Pectinophora gossypiella (pink bollworm). Its description in RNAcentral is "uncharacterized LOC126372205". The record is from RNAcentral. Lineage: Eukaryota; Metazoa; Arthropoda; Insecta; Lepidoptera; Gelechiidae.